Molecule: long non-coding RNA, 379 nt
Organism: Ictalurus punctatus (channel catfish)
Lineage: Eukaryota; Metazoa; Chordata; Actinopteri; Siluriformes; Ictaluridae
Source: Ensembl
UCUAUGGCUUCUACGUUACAUCAACCACAUGGUUGGUUACAUCAACAACACGUCCUGAAUAAAGUGAUCUCAUCAACAACACCACUUUUGCUGAAAUGGCACAAGAGGUUAAGGGUUAUGGGGAGCCUGGAGUCUAUCCCAGGGGACCGGGGCACAAGGCGGGGGACACCCUGGACAGGGUACCAACCCAUAGCUGGGCACAAUCGCACACACAUUCACACACUAUGGACAAUUUGGAAAUGCCAUUCAGUCUACAAUGCAUGUCUUUGGACUGGGGACUGGAGGAGGAAACCAGAGUACCUGGAGGGAGCUCCAAAAAGCAUGGGGAGAACACGCAAACUCUGCACACACAGGGUGGAGACUGGAUUCCAACCCCAAA